GAUGAAGAACGCAGCGAAAUGCGAUAAGUAAUGCGAAUUGCAGAAUUUCCGUGAGUCAUCGAAUCUUUGAACGCACAUUGCGCCCACUGGUAUUCCGGUGGGCAUGCCUGUUCGAGCGUCAUUAUCCUCCCUCAAACCCCGGGUUUGGUGUUGGACCCAAGUUGUGUGAACAACUGGUCUCAAAGACAAUGACGGCGUCCGUGGGACCCUCGGUGCAACGAGCUUUUAGGAGCACGCAUCGAGUUGCAAGGACCUUCCGGGCCGGUCUCCUUUACCAUUUUACAAGGUUGACCUCGGAUCAGGUAGGAAUACCCGCUGAACUUAAGCAUAUCAAUAAGCGGAGA
This 344-nucleotide unclassified non-coding RNA is filed under the name soil metagenome. RNAcentral describes it as "partial contains 5.8S ribosomal RNA, internal transcribed spacer 2, and large subunit ribosomal RNA". The stretch from base 1 to 121 matches the Rfam family "5.8S ribosomal RNA", at positions 35 to 154 of the family's 154-position model. The record is from RNAcentral.